RNAcentral lists this long non-coding RNA (1031 nucleotides) under Ananas comosus (pineapple). Its description in RNAcentral is "long non-coding RNA (ACOM_LNC032815)". The record is from RNAcentral. Lineage: Eukaryota; Viridiplantae; Streptophyta; Magnoliopsida; Poales; Bromeliaceae.
UUUGAAACCUAUAAAUGCUAUUUUAAUCCUUAGAGACAAUGCAUCGGACAGCUGGCGUGCAUGAUAAACAAUCCCGAUGCUGCGAUAUCGAUGCAAAUGAUAACUUUGUAAACCUCUUCCUAAAAUCCAAAGGAACGAAUUUCAUAUUAGAAGGUUUGAUUAAAAAAAAAAAAUCAUAGAAAGAGAGAGAGAAAGGGAGAGAGCUUAGACUGUCAAUGAUGGAGUCGAAUUGGACGUUAAAGGCGAUAGAGAGGGAGGAGGUUUGAGAGGAGGUGAGGAAGCAAGCUAUGCAACCAUAGCACACAAAGAGGAGGCCAUGGCAAGGGAUAAUUUAAGAGUCGUAGUGAUUUGUGAAGCUUCUCAGCGUAGUAGCGAAACCUCUAGCAACAUAUACCACAUCCACUAGAAAUGACACGAUUACUAACUCCUCUAUUUAGGAGGGGGGGAAGAGAGAGGAUGUAACUAUCCAGCCCACUACCAAUAAUAACUCGUUGGACCCAAAUCACCGACCCAAAAUACUUAAGCUAGUUAUUAUUACUAGGGUGGAGUCCUCUUGUGUGCCCAAUAACAAUCCCAUUCUUAUCCGAUGUUGAACUAUUAAGGUGUCAUAGAGGAAGAAGAAGAGGAAACAAAAAAGUUUAAGAUAAAAAAGGGUGAUUAGGAUUUUGGAAAGAGAUGAGGGUGUGUAUGAUAAUUGAGAGAUGAGGAGAGGUGAGAGGGUGCACAUUUUGUAAAAAUAUGAAGGGAGGUAAAGAGAUGUAUAAUUUAGAAAAUAUAAAGGGAGGUGAAGGAGGAUUUGAAAAAAGAUCAAUGGGGUGUACGUUUUGGAACCAGAUAAAAUAAUAUAAGGGGUGUACGGUGAGGGGGGAUGGGAUGGUACUAAAAGAAAAUCUAGUUUGGUAUGGAUGGAUUCGGUUCGGUUUGGUUCAAGAAAAGUGAGAAGGUGAAAAGGUGUAAAUAGAAAAUCCGGUUCAAAAGCGAAGAAAUAUUACUAGACCAAACCCUAGAAUAAAGAGAAAAGAAAAAUCGGA